This 255-nucleotide ribosomal RNA is filed under the name uncultured bacterium. RNAcentral describes it as "partial 16S ribosomal RNA". It matches the Rfam family "Bacterial small subunit ribosomal RNA", at positions 524 to 776 of the family's 1533-position model. The record is from RNAcentral.
UACGUAGGGUGCGAGCGUUGUCCGGAUUUAUUGGGCGUAAAGAGCUUGUAGGCGGCUCGUCACGGUCGGGUGUGAAAACUCGCGGCUCAACCGCGAGCCUGCACCCGAUACGGGCGGGCUGGAGUUCGGCAGGGGAGACUGGAAUUCCGUGGUGUAGCGGUGGAAUGCGCAGAUAUCAGGAGGAACACCGGUGGCGAAGGCGGGUCUCUGGGCCGAUACUGACGCUGAGAAGCGAAAGCGUGGGGAGCGAACAGG